GUGCUUGUUUCGGCAGCACAUAUACUAAAAUUGGAAUGAUACAGACAAGAUUAGCAUGGCUCUUGUGCAAGGAGGACACGCAAAUUCAUGAAGCAUUCCAUAUUUAA
This is a small nuclear RNA of Trichosurus vulpecula (common brushtail), 107 nucleotides long. Lineage: Eukaryota; Metazoa; Chordata; Mammalia; Diprotodontia; Phalangeridae. The record is from RefSeq and is a predicted model, not a curated record.